CCCUCCGUAGGGGAACCUGCGGAGGGAUCAUUACAGAGUUAUCCAACUCCCAAACCCAUGUGAACUUAUCUCUUUGUUGCCUCGGCGCAAGCUACCCGGGACCUCGCGCCCCGGGCGGCCCGCCGGCGGACAAACCAAAACUCUUGUUAUCUUAGUUGAUUAUCUGAGUGUCUUAUUUAAUAAGUCAAAACUUUCAACAACGGAUCUCUUGGUUCUGGCAUCGAUGAAGAACGCAGCGAAAUGCGAUAAGUAAUGUGAAUUGCAGAAUUCAGUGAAUCAUCGAAUCUUUGAACGCACAUUGCGCCCAUUAGUAUUCUAGUGGGCAUGCCUGUUCGAGCGUCAUUUCAACCCCUAAGCACAGCUUAUUGUUGGGAACCUACGGCUUCGUAGUUCCUCAAAGACAUUGGCGGAGUGGCAGUGGUCCUCUGAGCGUAGUAAUCUUUUAUCUCGCUUCUGUUAGGUGCUGCCCCCCCGGCCGUAAAACCCCCAAUUUUUUCUGGUUGACCUCGGAUCAGGUAGGAAUACCCGCUGAACUUAAGCAUAUCAAA
This 548-nucleotide ribosomal RNA is filed under the name fungal sp. Y11 JY-2013. Its description in RNAcentral is "eukaryotic LSU rRNA". The stretch from base 189 to 342 matches the Rfam family "5.8S ribosomal RNA". The record is from RNAcentral. Lineage: Eukaryota; Fungi.